Small nucleolar RNA from Oryctolagus cuniculus (rabbit), 281 nucleotides. Lineage: Eukaryota; Metazoa; Chordata; Mammalia; Lagomorpha; Leporidae. The record is from Ensembl.
GCCACAUCAUGAUAUCAAGGCUGCUGUGAUUCAAGUGGUUUGGCUAUACCUGAGGACCUUUGACCUCCUAAGGUCUGAAACCUUGGUGGACAGUGCAGUUACAGUGUCCACUGUAAAGGCAUAGCAACAAGACCUUUGUCCUGUUUUUCAACUACCUCUCUUCAGUAGAGAUGAUGAAUCUUUAAAGGUUGUUCCAAAUUAUGUUCCUCUCACUAGCGUACAGAUCACAUACCAGUGUUUGCUCUUUCUCAAUGUUAGUAUAAUUUUUACUUCUGAAGUUU